UGGCGGACGGGUGAGUAAUGUCUGGGAAACUGCCCGAUGGAGGGGGAUAACUACUGGAAACGGUAGCUAAUACCGCAUAACGUCGCAAGACCAAAGAGGGGACCUUCGGGCCUCUUGCCAUCGGAUGUGCCCAGAUGGGAUUAGCUAGUAGGUGGGGUAAUGGCUCACCUAGGCGACGAUCCCUAGCUGGUCUGAGAGGAUGACCAGCCACACUGGAACUGAGACACGGUCCAG
RNAcentral lists this ribosomal RNA (234 nucleotides) under uncultured bacterium. Its description in RNAcentral is "partial 16S ribosomal RNA". It matches the Rfam family "Bacterial small subunit ribosomal RNA", at positions 96 to 334 of the family's 1533-position model. The record is from RNAcentral.